This 72-nucleotide transfer RNA is filed under the name Agrilus planipennis (emerald ash borer). It matches the Rfam family "tRNA". From Rfam's summary of the family: Transfer RNA (tRNA) molecules are approximately 80 nucleotides in length. Their secondary structure includes four short double-helical elements and three loops (D, anti-codon, and T loops). Lineage: Eukaryota; Metazoa; Arthropoda; Insecta; Coleoptera; Buprestidae. The record is from Rfam by way of RNAcentral.
GGCUACGUACUUUAGUGGUAGAAUAUUGGUGCGUAAAGCCAAAGGUCCCGAGUUCGAUUCCCGGCGUGGCUG